GGAGGGGUGCCGGAGCGGUCGAACGGGACGGUCUCGAAAACCGUUGUACCCAUCUCGGGUACCGUGGGUUCGAAUCCCACCCCCUCCG
RNAcentral lists this transfer RNA (88 nucleotides) under Marinithermus hydrothermalis DSM 14884. It matches the Rfam family "tRNA". Rfam says of the family: Transfer RNA (tRNA) molecules are approximately 80 nucleotides in length. The record is from Rfam by way of RNAcentral. Lineage: Bacteria; Thermotogati; Deinococcota; Deinococci; Thermales; Thermaceae.